Molecule: long non-coding RNA, 233 nt
Filed under: Medicago truncatula (barrel medic)
Lineage: Eukaryota; Viridiplantae; Streptophyta; Magnoliopsida; Fabales; Fabaceae
Description: long non-coding RNA (MTRU_LNC005626)
Source: RNAcentral
ACGAUGCUGUUUGACCAAAAACCUCAAAAAUGCAAUUUUCUUCGCUCCAAUUGGUUCCAAACUUUUUCCUAAGUGUAGGGACUUUAUCCUAAUCAUCUAGGGGUGUUUUUAUGAAAGAAUUAACCUUGUGAAAAGGUGGUCUAGUGAAUCUUUAUGUCGUAUUGUCUUAUGAAUUGUUGUGACCAUUCUUGUACGACUAAGUGGAAUUGUGUGAAUGAUAUUGUUGAUUGUUG